RNAcentral lists this ribosomal RNA (768 nucleotides) under Ignavibacteria bacterium. RNAcentral describes it as "bacterial SSU rRNA". It matches the Rfam family "Bacterial small subunit ribosomal RNA", at positions 1 to 761 of the family's 1533-position model. The record is from RNAcentral. Lineage: Bacteria; Pseudomonadati; Ignavibacteriota; Ignavibacteria.
ACUACGGAGAGUUUGAUCCUGGCUCAGGACGAACGCUGGCGGCGUGCCUAACACAUGCAAGUCAGGGAGAAAGGGAUAGCAAUAUCCCGAGUAAACCGGCGCACGGGUGAGUAACGCGUAGGUAAUUUGCCCUGGAGACAGGGAUAACCUUGCGAAAGCGAGGCUAAUACCGGAUAGGCAAUCUUGGGGCAUCCCAAGAUUGUUAAAGGAUUGGCAACAAUCCGCUCCAGGAUAAGCCUGCGUCCGAUUAGCUAGUUGGUAGGGUAAUGGCCUACCAAGGCGACGAUCGGUAGCUGGUCUGAGAGGAUGAUCAGCCACACUGGGACUGAGACACGGCCCAGACUCCUACGGGAGGCAGCAGUGAGGAAUAUUGGGCAAUGCCCGAAAGGGUGACCCAGCAACGCCGCGUGGAGGAUGAAGUCCUUCUGGACGUAAACUCCUUUUAGAGGGGACGAAAAGCCCGAUUUGUCGGGAAUUGACGGUACCCUCAGAAAAAGCACCGGCUAACUACGUGCCAGCAGCCGCGGUAAUACGUAGGGUGCAAGCGUUGUCCGGAUUCACUGGGUGUAAAGGGUGCGCAGGCGGGCUCUUAAGUCAAAGGUGAAAUCUCUCGGCUUAACCGAGAAAUUGCCUUUGAUACUGAGAGCCUUGAGUACGGGAGAGGGAGAUGGAAUUCCAGGUGUAGCGGUGAAAUGCGUAGAUAUCUGGAGGAACACCGGAGGCGAAGGCGGUCUCCUGGCCCGUUACUGACGCUCAGGCACGAAAGCG